GACGAACGCUGGCGGCGUGCUUAACACAUGCAAGUCGAACGCUGAAGCCUAGCUUGCUAGGUGGAUUAGUGGCGAACGGGUGAGUAAUACGUGAGUAACCUACCUUUAACUCUGGGAUAAGCCCGGGAAACUGGGUCUAAUACCGGAUACGACCAAUCUCCGCCUGGGGUGUUGGUGGAAAGCGUUACGUAGUGGUUAUAGAUGGGCUCACGGCCUAUCAGCUUGUUGGUGAGGUAACGGCUCACCAAGGCGACGACGGGUAGCCGGCCUGAGAGGGUGACCGGCCACACUGGGACUGAGACACGGCCCAGACUCCUACGGGAGGCAGCAGUGGGGAAUAUUGCACAAUGGGCGCAAGCCUGAUGCAGCGACGCCGCGUGAGGGAUGACGGCCUUCGGGUUGUAAACCUCUGUUAGCAGGGAAGAAGAGAGAUUGACGGUACCUGCAGAGAAAGCGCCGGCUAACUACGUG
RNAcentral lists this ribosomal RNA (471 nucleotides) under uncultured bacterium. RNAcentral describes it as "partial 16S ribosomal RNA". It matches the Rfam family "Bacterial small subunit ribosomal RNA", at positions 28 to 507 of the family's 1533-position model. The record is from RNAcentral.